AACGCACAUUGCGCUCGAGGCCCCGGCCGAGAGCAUGCCUGUCUCAGCGUCGGCGCACCCCCUCGCCCUCAAUUCAUUGUUGAAUUGCCAGGAGCGGACGUGGCCGUCUCGGCUUCGAUUUGAAAGAAUGCCGGGUCGGCUGAAGCGCAGGGCUAUUCGGCGGUGGACCCGCAACGAGGGCGCGCCAGCAUGGUAGGUGGCUGUCCAGCCGCAUGCCGCUGUCGCGCUUUCCUCAAUCGAUGGUGAAGCACGCCAAGCCACUUCAACAGAAGUUUCCUUUGGAACCUCCACACACUUCGACCUGAGAUCAGACAAGGCUACCCGCUGAACUUAA
This 334-nucleotide unclassified non-coding RNA is filed under the name uncultured fungus. RNAcentral's name for it is "partial contains 5.8S ribosomal RNA, internal transcribed spacer 2, and large subunit ribosomal RNA". Lineage: Eukaryota; Fungi. The record is from RNAcentral.